CGGGUUGUCACGCCAGUGGCAUUGCCCGGUAGCUAUGUUCGGACAGGAUAACCGCUGAAAGCAUCUAAGCGGGAAGCCUCCUCCAAGAUCAGAUUUCCCUGGACCCUCGAGGUCCCUAAAGGGCCGUCUUAGACCAAGACGUUGAUAGGCCGGGUGUGUAAGCGCUGCGAGGCGUUGAGCUAACCGGUACUAAUUGCCCGUGAGGCUUGACCAUAUAAUAGA
RNAcentral lists this ribosomal RNA (222 nucleotides) under Porticoccaceae bacterium. Its description in RNAcentral is "partial 23S ribosomal RNA". It matches the Rfam family "Bacterial large subunit ribosomal RNA", at positions 2717 to 2925 of the family's 2925-position model. Lineage: Bacteria; Pseudomonadati; Pseudomonadota; Gammaproteobacteria; Cellvibrionales; Porticoccaceae. The record is from RNAcentral.